Long non-coding RNA from Neopelma chrysocephalum (saffron-crested tyrant-manakin), 649 nucleotides. RefSeq lists it as uncharacterized. NCBI's taxonomy places the organism in Eukaryota, Metazoa, Chordata, Aves, Passeriformes, Pipridae. The transcript is spliced from 3 exons. The record is from RefSeq and is a predicted model, not a curated record.
UUAGGGAGCUUGUGGUGCCUCACGAGUCAAUAGUCAGCAAGGUGUCAAUUGUACCUGGCUUGGCAUCAUCUCAGCUUCUCCAGGACACAGGACCAACUGCAGUGAUUGGUUGUACAUGUACUGAACAGCCAGUAAUUGCAAAAUGUAUGCCAAGUCCUGGUGGACAUGGACAGCAGGGCUGACCUGGUUUUACAGGAGGAUCAAAAUGUGGGUACAGAACUGGAGAAAAAGAUUCAUGGUGAGGAGGGAAGGUCAGGGAAAAAAGGGUAGACAGAAUUAAAUCCAGAGGGACAAGUUUUAGAGAAAGGAGAAAGAGAGCCACAGAACUGCUAGAAUUAGCAGUCCUAAGAAAAGCAGCAUAAGAAGGCGAGGACAGACAAGCAGAGCAUCAGGCACUUCCGUGGUGUGAGUGAAUCAAGUGAAUAGCUGAAUUGGUACGUGCUGGCGCUGAGAAGCAUGUCUCACACAACUUAUGGUGCUCAAAACCCUCAGAUUGCUGCAUCGCAAUCUCCUUCUGAGCCGGUAAAGAAGCCUACCUGCCUGACUUCUCUCAGCUGCGUUGGACAGGACACGUCUCAAGGAUGAAGGACUACCACCUCCCUAAGAUCUUGCUUUAUGGUGAACUUGCCACUGGCUGCUGCAAGAGAGG